This 649-nucleotide ribosomal RNA is filed under the name uncultured archaeon. RNAcentral describes it as "bacterial SSU rRNA". It matches the Rfam family "Archaeal small subunit ribosomal RNA", at positions 8 to 647 of the family's 1478-position model. The record is from RNAcentral.
UUGAUCUGCCGGACCUGACUGCUAUCUAUUGGUACUAAGCCAUGCAUUCGUUGUACAAUACAAGCGGACUGCUCAGUAACACGUAGUUAACUUAACCUAUGGAUGGGCAUAACCUCGGGAAACUGAGAAUAAUACCCAAUGGACCACAGUGCCUGGAAUGGCUUGGUGGUUGAAAUGAUUUAUCGCCGUAGGAUAGGACUGCGGCCUAUCAGCUUGUUGGUGAGGUAAUGGCCCACCAAGGGCUAUNNAACAGGUACGGGCUCUGAGAGGAGGGGCCCGGAGAUGGGUACUGAGAACACGUGACCCCAGGCCCCCUAUUGGGGCGCAGCAGGCGAGAAACCUUUGCAAUGUGCGAAAGCACGACAAGGUUAAUCCGAGUGUCUCCUGCUAAAGGAGUCUUUUGUCAGUUGUAGAAUCACUGGUGAAUAAGGGGUGGGCAAGUUCUGGUGUCAGCCGCCGCGGUAAAACCAGCACCUCGAGUGGUCAGGAGGUUUAUUGGGCCUANAGCAUCCGUAGCCGGUUGCAUAAAGUUUCGGUUAAAUCUAUGCGCCCCCUUUACCGUAUAGGCCGCCGAAAAUACUGUGCAGCUUAGGGAGUGGGGAGAGGUACCCGGCUACUCGAUUAGGCAGGGGGUUACACUCCUUUGGAU